This 253-nucleotide ribosomal RNA is filed under the name uncultured bacterium. RNAcentral's name for it is "partial 16S ribosomal RNA". It matches the Rfam family "Bacterial small subunit ribosomal RNA", at positions 524 to 776 of the family's 1533-position model. The record is from RNAcentral.
UACAGAGGGUGCAAGCGUUAAUCGGAAUUACUGGGCGUAAAGCGUGCGUAGACGGUUGCGUAAGUCAGAUGUGAAAGCCCCGGGCUCAACCUGGGAAUUGCAUUUGAGACUGCGUAGCUAGGGUGCGGAAGAGGGAAGCGGAAUUUCCGGUGUAGCGGUGAAAUGCGUAGAUAUCGGAAGGAACACCAGUGGCGAAAGCGGAUUCCUGGUCCAGCACAGACGUUCAGGCACGAAAGCGUGGGGAGCAAACAGG